CAAGUGGCCUUUAUAAAGGCCAUUAAAGACUUUUUAAAAUUAAAAU
This is a non-coding RNA of Monodelphis domestica (gray short-tailed opossum), 46 nucleotides long. The record is from Rfam. NCBI's taxonomy places the organism in Eukaryota, Metazoa, Chordata, Mammalia, Didelphimorphia, Didelphidae.